UUUUUGAGUUUUUUAAAUAAGUUUAAAAUCGCUUGUGACCAUUGAGUCACAAUACUCAAACGAAAUCAUCAACGAAAGUUGAUCGGUUAAGUUAUUAAGGGCGCAUGGUGAAUGCCUUGGCACUAGGAGCCGAUGAAGGACGGGACUAACACCGAUAUGCCUCGGGGAGCUGUAAGUAAGCUGUGAUCCGGGGAUUUCCGAAUGGGGGAACCCAACUUGUGAUGCAAGUUAUCGUUUAAUGAAUACAUAGUUAAACGAAGGUAGACGUUGUGAACUGAAACAUCUCAUUAGCAACAGGAGAAGAAAGAAAAAUCGAUUCCGUCAGUAGCGGCGAGCGAACGCGGAGGAGCCCAAACCAGAGUGCUUGCACUCUGGGGUUGUAGGACUACCGUUGUGGAGUUACAAAUUUGUUUAUUAGCAGAAUCAGCUGGAAGCUGAGCGAAACAGGGUGAUAGCCCCGUAUGCGAAAGUAAGCAAACUCCCGUGUAGGAUCCUGAGUACGGCCGGACACGUGAAAUCCGGUCGGAAACUGCGA
This 535-nucleotide small RNA is filed under the name Leuconostoc garlicum. RNAcentral's name for it is "bacterial LSU rRNA". The stretch from base 85 to 535 matches the Rfam family "Bacterial large subunit ribosomal RNA", at positions 1 to 449 of the family's 2925-position model. Lineage: Bacteria; Bacillati; Bacillota; Bacilli; Lactobacillales; Lactobacillaceae. The record is from RNAcentral.